CGGAGCCCCUCCGCCCGGCAGCCACCCCGUCUGAGAAGAAACCAACUAUCAGGCCUCCCAGAUAGUAUCAAGGAACUGAAACUUCCCAGAUCACAGCAUCUGUACAAUGAGACACCAGACCCUUCACUGGUCAUGAUUACCUGACCACCUGCCACCUGCUUCCUGCUGAACAACUCUUCUUUCUUAUCCUCCCCUAAUUCCUGUUUUCCUGUAUGUAGCUACAUUUCUUUUCUGCUGUAUAAACUCCUAAUUUUAGUUGGUCACGGAGAUGGAUUUGAAGCUGAUCUCCCACCUCCAUGGCUGCAGUACCUGAUUAAAGCUUUCUUUCCUGGCAGUA
This 337-nucleotide long non-coding RNA is filed under the name Homo sapiens (human). Its description in RNAcentral is "HSALNT0355010". Lineage: Eukaryota; Metazoa; Chordata; Mammalia; Primates; Hominidae. The record is from RNAcentral.